RNAcentral lists this long non-coding RNA (5251 nucleotides) under Setaria italica (foxtail millet). Its description in RNAcentral is "long non-coding RNA (SITA_LNC002089)". Lineage: Eukaryota; Viridiplantae; Streptophyta; Magnoliopsida; Poales; Poaceae. The record is from RNAcentral.
CUUGUAUCGUGAAUCCUGAACAAAUUCCACUAUAGUGUGUGUUCGUGUCCACCGGUAUAAGUUGUGUCUCACAUUUGGUAUUCAGAGUUGAUCGAUUCUGGAUCCAACGCACUCUCAUCUCACUCGCUUCCAAGUUCAUGUCGGAGCCAUGGUGGUACCGACGGAUUCCAUGGCAACGGUGUCGGCGAAGCUGGAGGAGUUGGGAAAAAAAGGUGGAUGAGACCAAUCGCAAGAUCGAGGAGAUGCAGCAGUCCAUUGAUCUUCUUACUCAAGAGCAAGGUGCAGUGAAGGAAUGGAAACCUAAGUUGGAGAACAAGGUCACGGAGUUGCAGAAUUCUAUGUACGAUCUCAAGCAGAAGGUAGAUCUGUUCGUCCACGAGCUCCCAAGAAGAAGCCAGAUGAAGGGAUCAAGGUUGAGGCGCCUUCCCCCACCCAUCUAGGGGUGAUUGGAGAUGCAGAGGCGUCUGGGCAAUACUACCACCGCGUCGAAACUCAGCACCGGAGUGUUGGUGCUGGGGUUGUCACAACCCUGGUGCCACCUCCGGUCAAAGGUGCAAAUCGAGACCUCAAUGUUACACAUGUUCCUUUUCAUGGGUUUGAUUCUGUUGGAUGUGUUAGUUAUCUUCCUGCUCCUAGCUUUAGUCAUGGCAUACCCCAGCUUGAAUUUCCUCGGUUUGGUGGAACUAAUCCCAAGAUCUGGAUUAGGAGGUGUGAGAAUUUUUUUGAUGUCUAUGAAACUCCUAAAUCUCAUUGGGUUAAGUUAGCUACCAUGAAUUUGGGGGCUCUGCUGAUUUUUGGAUGCAAUCCAUAGAAAUAGAUCUUAAGAAGUGUACUUGGGAGAAUCUCUGCCAAGUUGUGUUAGGAAGGUUUGAGAGGGAUCAGCACAACCAUGUUAUUAGGCAAUUAUUUCAUAUCAAACAGUCAGGGUCAGUAGCAGAAUACAUAGAGCUUUUUGAUAAGCUUGUUCACCAACUGCUGGCUCAUGACCCUUAUUUCAAUCCCUCUGUUGUUACUAGUAAAUUUGUAGAUGGUUUAAAGAUUGAAAUUAAGGCAAUAGUACUUGUUCAUAGGCCAAAAGAUUUGGAUAUUGCUAGCUCUUUGGCAAUUUUGCAGGAGGAAGUGCUAGAGGGAGGUCCUAGCAAAUAAAGAAGGAGAAUAGAAGUACCCAAUUCUAUCAAGUCAGUGCAGAGGACUGGCAGUGUGUCUUCUGUAGCAAGGCAAAAUGAACAAUUUCCAACUGAAGAUAGGAGAUCUCCUAACCAUUAGGUGAUAGAGUGUCAGCUCUGAUGGCUUAUAGGAAGGCCAAGGGACUCUACUACAAGUGUGGAGCAAAAUAGGAUCCUCAGCAUACUUGUCCUGAGAAUGUUCCCCUCCAUAUUGUAGAAGAGUUUUGGCAAAUGAUUGCAAAGAAGGAGGAACCUGUACAUCAAUCCUUGGGUGAAUCUGAUUCUGAUUCAUGAGAAGAUUUAAUGGCAAUUUUUGCACAAGCUGUAAAUGAAACUUAUUCUGGGAAGACAAUGAAGCUCCAAUGCUUUAUUCAACAAUAUAAGACUGUUGUAUUGGUGGACUCUAGCAACUCUCAUAAUUUCAUUAGUGAGCAGUUUGCUGCACUUUUACCAAACUGGAGACCACUGAAGAAACCUAUUGAUGUCAACAUGGCAGAUGGAGGUAUUCUGCAAUGUACACAUAAAGUGGUGAAUUGCAAUUGGCUUGUUCAAGGGAUUCAAUUCUUGACAACUUUUAAGAUACUUCCCUUGAAAUGCUAUGAUGCUAUAUUGGGGAUGGAUUGGCUGGAAACUUUUAGUCCUAUGAAGGUACAUUAGGCUCAAAAAUGGCUGUCUUUCCACUACAAGGAGAAGAAAGUCAGGAUACAGGGAACACAAGAUAACACACCUUGUCUUUAUAUCACUGGAGAUCAGUUAUUUGCUAUACAAAAGCAAGAUGAUAUUUGGUGUGUUCUGCAAGUAAUUCUGUUGAACAACAUCCUAGCAAUGAAGGCAAGAGUUAGUGGACAACUAUGUAGAACUCUUUGCUGAACCAAAAGGACUGCCUCCAAAUAGAAAUAUUACUCAUUCAAUUCCCUUGCUGCCUGGAGCCCAACCUUUCAAAUUGAGGCCAUAUAGAUAUACCCCAGCUCAGAAAGAUGAAAUAGAGCAACAAGUGGCCAAGCUUUUACAAGAUCACAUGAUUCAGGCCAGUAUAAGUCCUUUUGCCUCCCUGUAUUGCUAGUCAAAAAGAAAAUAGGAGAAUGGAGGUUGUGUGUAGAUUUCAGAAGGUUGAAUGCCUACACUAUCAAGAACAAAUUUCCACUACCAAUCAUUGAAGAGUUGUUUGAGGAGUUGUAUGGAGCAAAAUGGUUUACAACCUUGGACCUUAGGUCUGAUUUUCAUCAGAUAUUGGUUAAUGAAGAAGAUCAGUACAAAACUAUUUUUCAAACACAUUUCGGCCAUUUUGAGUAUAAGCUUAUGCCAUAUGGGUUAACAGGAGCACCAUCUACAUUCCAAGCUAUUAUGAACCACAUAUUGGCACCUCUGCUCAGGAAGUGUGUGGUAGUCUUCAUUGAUGAUAUACUUAUAUACAGUAAGAGCUAUGAAGAGCACGUGCAACAUGUAAGAUGGUCUUUGACUUGUUGAAAGAACAUCAAUUUAAAGUCAGGUUGUCUAAAUGUAGUUUUGCCCAACAACAGCUCAAAUAUCUGGACCACAUUAUAAGUGCUGAAGGUGUGGAAACAAAUCCUGGAAAAGUCAGUGAUGUCCAGAAUUGGCCCGUUCCAACUUCAGUGAAGGAAUUGAGGGGGUUCCUUGGCUUGGCUGCGUAUUAUAGAAGAUUUGUCAAAAAUUUUGGCAUGUUAGCUAAACCUCUAACAGAACUGUUGAAGAAAGAGAAAAUAUUUGUGUGGAUAUCUAUAGCUGAACAGGACUUUCAAACUUUGAAAUCUGCACUCACUUCAUCUCCAGUCUUAGCUCUUCCUGAUUUUAACAAGACUUUUGUGGUGGAAACUGAUGCAUCAGACAAAGGAAUUGGAGCAGUAUUGCAGCAAAGAGGGCAUCCAAUAGCUUAUGUUAGCAUAGCACUGGGUCCCAAAAGCCAAGGCCUUUCUACUUAUGAAAAAGAGAGUUUGGCAAUCUUGGUGGCUAUAGAUCACCGAAGGAGCUAUUUACAACCUGCUAAAUUCAUCAUUCAGACUGAUCAGAAAAGCUUAAUUCACCUGGAUGACCACUGCUGAAUUCAUCAUUCAGACUAAUCAGAAAAGCUUAAUUCACCUGGAUGACCAGAGGCUAAAUUCCUAAUGGCAGCAGAAGGCUUUAAACAAGUUGCUCGGUCUACAAUACAAGAUCUCCUACAAGAAGGGCUCCACAAACAAUGCUGCUGAUGCACUGUCCAGAGUUACACAUGAUGAAACUUCAAAAGUCUUGGCUUUAUCAAAGGCACAACCAGUUUGGUUGGAUGACUUGCAGUCUAGUUAUGCUGAUAAUGAACAAGCUCAAAAGCUAUUAACACAACUUUUACUCAAUCCUGAUCAAGGCAAGUACAAACUAUCACAAGGCAUUAUCAAGUACAAGAACAGGAUAUGGUUGGGUCAUAGCCUAGAAAUACAACAAGUUAUGAAGGUUCUGCAUUCAAGUCCAAUGGGUGGUCAUUCAGAAAUCUUGGUCACAUAUAUAAGGAUCAAAAGAUUCUUCUAUUGGCCUCAAAUGAAGGACCACAUACAUGAGUGGGUUGAGUCUUAUUCUGUUUGUCAACGAGCAAAAGUCGAAAGGGUGCCUUAUCCAGGUCUUCUUCAACCUUUGGAAGUACCUGAUCAUGCUUGGCAAGUAGUGACUCUAGACUUCAUUGAAGGCUUGCCAACUUCAUCUAAUUACAACUGCAUACUGGUAGUAGUUGACAAGUUCUCAAAAUACUCUCACUUCAUAAGUUAGUCCACCCUUUUACUACUCUCAAAGUGGCUAAAGCAUAUACGGAUGAUGUCUAUAAACUACAUGGCAUGCCACAAGCCAUGGUGUCUAACAGAGAUAAAAUAUUUACUAGUCAACUUUGGCAAGAAUUAUUUAAGUUGUCUAAAACUGAACUCAGAAUGAGUUCUGCAUAUCAUCCUCAAAGUGAUGGGCAAACUGAGAGGGUAAAUCAAAGUGUGGAAGCUUAUCUCCAUUAUUUUGUACAUUCUUGUCCUUCCAAAUGGUCACAGUGGUUAUCAUUGGCUGAAUUCUGGUACAACAUCAAUUUCCACUCAGCUUUGAACAAAUCACCAUUUGAAGUGUUGUAUGGGCAUGCUCCUAGAUACUUUGGAAUAGAAGGAAUAGAAGGAGUGGAACAUUGUGCUAUACCAGACUUGGAGGGCUGGCUAAAGGAAAUACAAACAAUGACAGAACUAUUACAGCAACAGUUGUUGAGAGCACAACAGCGGAUGAAACGUCAAGCGGACAAGCACAGAACUGAAAGAUCCUUUGCUGUUGGAGAGAAGGUUUGGCUUAAGUUACAACCUUAUGUUCAGACUUCUGUUGGCUCACGAGCUAGUCAUAAGCUCUCGUUCAAAUAUUUUGGUCCUUAUCUGAUUGAGAACAAGAUUGGAUUGGUUGCUUACAAGUUGAAGUUGCCUUCUGGAAGCAAAAUUCACCCUGUGUUCCAUGUUUCACUCCUUAAGAAGGUCAAAGGUAACAUACCCACUGGCAGCCCGUCUCUACCUCCAGAUGAUGUAUCUAUGCAGGUACCAAAAAUGAUGCUCGACUGGUGUCUCAGGAACAUUGGAAGAAGAGCUAUCUAGCAGGGUCUGGUCAAGUGGCACGAUUGGCCCGCGGAACUGGCAACUUGGGAAGAAGAAGAUCACAUCUUACCUCAGCUGGAAUCUGCAAUGGCUCGCAGACAAGCCGUUAUUCAAGAAGAGGGGGAUGUCACGAACAAGAAUGUGACACCGAAUUCUGUGAAGGAGGAAGGGGAAGAAAGCAGGAUCAAGGCUGCGGAAACAACUCAAGGAACUGGGCGUCCUCAACGAGAUCCGAAGCCCAACAAGUACUUGGCUAGGCCGUAUUGGCUAAAGUAGUUUAGGCCCAUGAACGGGAGUCGUUGUGACCAUUCUAGCACGACGUGUAAUGGUUAAAGGAGGACGCGUGCACCAGAGAAGAACUGAUUAGGAUCACGUCGGUUGUGGCGGCGGUGGCGAGCUUAUGCUCGAGACUCUGGCGAGAUUCUUAUCCUUGUAUGGUGAAUCCUGAACAAAUUCCACUAUAGUAUGUGUUCGUAUCCACCGGUAUAA